UACAGAGGGGGCAAGCGUUGUUCGGAAUUACUGGGUGUAAAGCGCGUGUAGGUGGUGGGCCAAGUCUGUGGUGAAAUCGCCCGGCUCAACUGGGCGGGGUCCGUGGAAACUGGUCGACUGGAGGACGGUAGAGGCGAGUGGAAUUCCCGGUGUAGUGGUGAAAUGCGUAGAGAUCGGGAGGAACACCAGUGGCGAAGGCGGCUCGCUGGGCCGGUCCUGACACUGAGACGCGAAGGCGUGGGGAGCGAACGGG
This 253-nucleotide ribosomal RNA is filed under the name uncultured bacterium. RNAcentral describes it as "partial 16S ribosomal RNA". It matches the Rfam family "Bacterial small subunit ribosomal RNA", at positions 524 to 776 of the family's 1533-position model. The record is from RNAcentral.